This 96-nucleotide signal recognition particle RNA is filed under the name Akkermansiaceae bacterium. RNAcentral's name for it is "signal recognition particle sRNA small type". It matches the Rfam family "Bacterial small signal recognition particle RNA". Rfam says of the family: The signal recognition particle (SRP) is a universally conserved ribonucleoprotein involved in the co-translational targeting of proteins to membranes. Archaeal SRP consists of a 7S RNA and homologues of the eukaryotic SRP19 and SRP54 proteins. In most bacteria, the SRP consists of a 4.5S RNA and the Ffh protein (a homologue of the eukaryotic SRP54 protein). The record is from RNAcentral. Lineage: Bacteria; Pseudomonadati; Verrucomicrobiota; Verrucomicrobiia; Verrucomicrobiales; Akkermansiaceae.
CGGGAACACCCCCGGAGGUAUAGCUGGAAAACCCCGCCAGGACCGAGAGGUAGCAACGGUAUUCAGACUAUGCUUGUCGGGGUGUUGUUCCCGGCG